CCUACGGGUGGCAGCAGUGAGGAAUAUUGGUCAAUGGGCGCGAGCCUGAACCAGCCAAGUAGCGUGAAGGAUGACUGCCCUACGGGUUGUAAACUUCUUUUAUAAAGGAAUAAAGUGAGGCACGUGUGCCUUUUUGUAUGUACUUUAUGAAUAAGGAUCGGCUAACUCCGUGCCAGCAGCCGCGGUAAUACGGAGGAGCCGAGCGUUAUCCGGAUUUAUUGGGUUUAAAGGGAGCGUAGGUGGGUUGUUAAGUCAGUUGUGAAAGUUUGCGGCUCAACCGUAAAAUUGCAAUUGAUACUGGCAGACUUGAGUACAGUAGAGGUAGGCGGAAUUCGUGGUGUAGCGGUGAAAUGCUUAGAUAUCACGAAGAACUCCGAUUGCGAAGGCAGCCUACUAGACUGCAACUGACACUGAUGCUCGAAAGUGUGGGUAUCAAACAGGAUUAGAUAUCCGUGUAGUC
RNAcentral lists this ribosomal RNA (460 nucleotides) under uncultured bacterium. RNAcentral describes it as "partial 16S ribosomal RNA". It matches the Rfam family "Bacterial small subunit ribosomal RNA", at positions 338 to 795 of the family's 1533-position model. The record is from RNAcentral.